CAAAUCCCCAUUUUUCCCCCCCAAAAUUCCAAUUUUUCCCCCCAAAAUUCCCUUUUUUUUUCCCAAAAAUUCCCAUUUUUUCCCUCCCAAAAAUUCCCAAUUUCCCUUCCCUAAAUUCCCAUUUUUCCCCCCAAAAUCCCCAAUUUUUCUCCCCCUCAAAAUCCAAUUUUUCCCCCCAAAAAUUCCCAUUUUUUCCGCCUUAAAAAUCCCAAUUUCCCCCCCCCAAAUUCCCAAUUUUUCCCCCAAAAUUCCCAUUUUUCCCCUCCCCAAAAUCCCCAAUUUUUCCCUCCUGAAAUUCCCAAUUUCACUCCCCAAAUACCCAAUUUUUUUUCCAGGAAUUUAUUGGAAUUUAUUGGGAAUUUUUGAGGGGUUUUUUUGGGAAUUUUUUGGGACUUUUUGGGAAUAUUUCCAGGGAUUUUUUGGGAAUAUUUUUGGGAUAUUUUGGGAUAUUUUGGGAAUUUUUUGGGGGUUGUGGACUCACCAAAAUUCCAUUUAUUCCCCCAAAUUUUCCCCCAAAAAUCCCGGAUUUUUUCAGGUGAGGACAGGAUUUUUUGGGAAUAUUUUUGGGAUAUUUUGGGAAUUUUUUUGGAAUUUUUAGGGGAAUUUUUGGGGUCGUGGACUCAUCAAAAUUCCAUUUAUUCCCCAAAUUUUCCCCAAAAAAUCCCGGAUUUUUUCGAGGCCGGAUGGGAUUUUUUGGGAAUAUUUCCAGGGGUUUUUUGGGAAUGUUUUGGGGAUAUUUUGGGAAUUUUUUGGGAAUUUUUGGGGCUCUCAGAGCUCUUGGAUUCACCAAAAAAUUCCAUUUUUUCCUCCGUAUUUUCCUCUAAAAAUCCCGGAUUUUUUCGAGGCUGGAUGGGGUUUUUUGGGAAUUUUUCCAGGGAUUUUUUGGAAAUGUUUUUGGGAAUUUUUGGGAAUUUUUUUGGGAAUUUUUGGGGAAUUUUUAGGGGAAUUUUUGGGGGUCGUGGACUCAUCAAAAUUCCAUUUUUUCCUCCGUAUUUUCCCCAAAAAAUCCCAGAUUUUUUCGAGGCCGGAUGGGAUUUUUUUGGGAAUAUUUUUGGGAUAUUUUGGGAAUUUUUUGGGAAUUUUUUGGGAAUUUUUAGGGGAAUU
Molecule: long non-coding RNA, 1104 nt
Filed under: Cyanistes caeruleus (blue tit)
Lineage: Eukaryota; Metazoa; Chordata; Aves; Passeriformes; Paridae
Description: lncRNA (ENSCCEG00000013767.1)
Source: RNAcentral